AUUGCGCUUCGGGAGGUAUCUUUUUUUUAAGGCAAUUUUUCUUUGCUUUAAAAAAGAUAUAAUGAACAGCGGGACAAAUG
RNAcentral lists this small RNA (80 nucleotides) under Flavobacterium sp. 81. Its description in RNAcentral is "Flavo-1 RNA". The record is from RNAcentral. RNAcentral also lists the same sequence under 1 other name. Lineage: Bacteria; Pseudomonadati; Bacteroidota; Flavobacteriia; Flavobacteriales; Flavobacteriaceae.